This 72-nucleotide transfer RNA is filed under the name Micromonosporaceae bacterium. It matches the Rfam family "tRNA". From Rfam's summary of the family: Transfer RNA (tRNA) molecules are approximately 80 nucleotides in length. Their secondary structure includes four short double-helical elements and three loops (D, anti-codon, and T loops). Lineage: Bacteria; Bacillati; Actinomycetota; Actinomycetes; Micromonosporales; Micromonosporaceae. The record is from Rfam by way of RNAcentral.
GCGCCGCUAGCUCAGUGGUAGAGCUGCCGCCUUUUAAGCGGAGUGUCCGGGGUUCGAUCCCUCGGCGGCGUA